Molecule: ribosomal RNA, 487 nt
Filed under: uncultured bacterium
Lineage: Bacteria
Description: bacterial SSU rRNA
Rfam family: Bacterial small subunit ribosomal RNA
Source: RNAcentral
GAUGAACGCUAGCGGCAGGCUUAACACAUGCAAGUCGAGGGGUAUAGUUCUUCGGAACUAGAGACCGGCGCACGGGUGCGUAACGCGUAUGCAAUCUACCUUUUGCAGAGGGAUAGCCCCAGAGAAAUUUGGAUUAAUACCUCAUAGUAUAGCAGUUUCGCAUGAAACCACUAUUAAAGUCACAACGGCAAAAGAUGAGCAUGCGUCCCAUUAGCUAGUUGGUAAGGUAACGGCUUACCAAGGCUACGAUGGGUAGGGGUCCUGAGAGGGAGAUCCCCCACACUGGUACUGAGACACGGACCAGACUCCUACGGGAGGCAGCAGUGAGGAAUAUUGGACAAUGGGCGCAAGCCUGAUCCAGCCAUGCCGCGUGCAGGAUGACGGUCCUAUGGAUUGUAAACUGCUUUUAUACAGGAAGAAACACUACUUCGUGAAGUAGCUUGACGGUACUGUAAGAAUAAGGAUCGGCUAACUCCGUGCCAGCACG